UAGCUCAGUUGGUAGAGCAUGGCACUUGCAAUGCCAGGGUUGUGGGUUCGAUUCCCAC
Molecule: transfer RNA, 58 nt
Filed under: Salmo salar (Atlantic salmon)
Lineage: Eukaryota; Metazoa; Chordata; Actinopteri; Salmoniformes; Salmonidae
Also listed under: 1 other name
Rfam family: tRNA
About the family: Transfer RNA (tRNA) molecules are approximately 80 nucleotides in length. Their secondary structure includes four short double-helical elements and three loops (D, anti-codon, and T loops). Further hydrogen bonds mediate the characteristic L-shaped molecular structure. tRNAs have two regions of fundamental functional importance: the anti-codon, which is responsible for specific mRNA codon recognition, and the 3' end, to which the tRNAs corresponding amino acid is attached (by aminoacyl-tRNA synthetases). tRNAs cope with the degeneracy of the genetic code in two manners: having more than one tRNA (with a specific anti-codon) for a particular amino acid; and 'wobble' base-pairing, i.e. permitting non-standard base-pairing at the 3rd anti-codon position.
Source: Rfam by way of RNAcentral